RNAcentral lists this ribosomal RNA (466 nucleotides) under uncultured bacterium. RNAcentral's name for it is "partial 16S ribosomal RNA". It matches the Rfam family "Bacterial small subunit ribosomal RNA", at positions 28 to 505 of the family's 1533-position model. The record is from RNAcentral.
GACGAACGCUGGCGGCGUGCUUAACACAUGCAAGUCGAACGGAAAGGCCCUGCUUUUGUGGGGUGCUCGAGUGGCGAACGGGUGAGUAACACGUGAGUAACCUGCCCUUGACUUUGGGAUAACUUCAGGAAACUGGGGCUAAUACCGGAUAGGAGCUCCUGCUGCAUGGUGGGGGUUGGAAAGUUUCGGCGGUUGGGGAUGGACUCGCGGCUUAUCAGCUUGUUGGUGGGGUAGUGGCUUACCAAGGCUUUGACGGGUAGCCGGCCUGAGAGGGUGACCGGCCACAUUGGGAAUGAGAUGCGGCCGAGACUCCUACGGGAGGCAGCAGGGGGGAAUAUUGCACAAAGGGCGGAAGCCUGAUGCAGCAACGCCGCGUGCGAGAUGACGGCCUUCGGGUUGUAAACCGCUUUCGCCUGUGACGAAGCGUGAGUGGCGGUAAUGGGUAAAGAAGCACCGGCUAACUACG